UGGGGAAUUUUGGACAAUGGGCGAAAGCCUGAUCCAGCAAUGCCGCGUGUGUGAAGAAGGCCUUCGGGUUGUAAAGCACUUUUGUCCGGAAAGAAAUCCUUGGCUCUAAUACAGUCGGGGGAUGACGGUACCGGAAGAAUAAGCACCGGCUAACUACGUGCCAGCAGCCGCGGUAAUACGUAGGGUGCAAGCGUUAAUCGGAAUUACUGGGCGUAAAGCGUGCGCAGGCGGUUUGCUAAGACCGAUGUGAAAUCCCCGGGCUCAACCUGGGAACUGCAUUGGUGACUGGCAGGCUAGAGUAUGGCAGAGGGGGGUAGAAUUCCACGUGUAGCAGUGAAACGCGUAGAGAUGUGGAGGAAUACCGAUGGCGAAGGCAGCCCCCUGGGCCAAUACUGACGCUCAUGCACGAAAGCGUGGGGAGCAAACAGGAUUAGAUACCCUGGUAGUCCACGCCCUAAACGAUGUCAACUAGUUGUUGGGGAUUCAUUUCCUUAGUAACGUAGCUAACGCGUGAAGUUGACCGCCUGGGGAGUACGGUCGCAAGAUUAAAACUCAAAUGAAUUG
RNAcentral lists this ribosomal RNA (564 nucleotides) under uncultured bacterium. RNAcentral describes it as "partial 16S ribosomal RNA". It matches the Rfam family "Bacterial small subunit ribosomal RNA", at positions 355 to 912 of the family's 1533-position model. The record is from RNAcentral.